This 551-nucleotide ribosomal RNA is filed under the name Sarcodontia pachyodon. RNAcentral's name for it is "partial 28S ribosomal RNA". It matches the Rfam family "Eukaryotic large subunit ribosomal RNA", at positions 75 to 606 of the family's 3401-position model. Lineage: Eukaryota; Fungi; Basidiomycota; Agaricomycetes; Polyporales; Meruliaceae. The record is from RNAcentral.
UUCCCCUAGUAACUGCGAGUGAAGCGGGAAAAGCUCAAAUUUAAAAUCUGGCAGUCUUUGGCUGUCCGAGUUGUAGUCUGGAGAAGUGUUUUCCGCGCCGGACCGUGUAUAAGUCCCCUGGAAUGGGGCGUCGUAGAGGGUGACAAUCCCGUCUUUGACACGGACUCCCGGUGCUUUGUGAUGCGCUCUCAAAGAGUCGAGUUGUUUGGGAAUGCAGCUCAAAAUGGGUGGUAAAUUCCAUCUAAAGCUAAAUAUUGGCGAGAGACCGAUAGCGAACAAGUACCGUGAGGGAAAGAUGAAAAGCACUUUGGAAAGAGAGUUAAACAGUACGUGAAAUUGCUGAAAGGGAAACGCUUGAAGUCAGUCGCGUCGUGCAGAACUCAGCCUGGCCUUGGCCUGGUGUAUUUUCUGCGCGACGGGCCAGCAUCGAUUUCGGUCGCUGGAAAAGGGCCUCGGGAAUGUGGCACCCUCGGGUGUGUUAUAGCCCGGGGUCGUAUGCAGUGGCUGGGAUCGAGGAAUGCAGCACGCCUUUAUGGCUGGGGUUCGCCCAC